Molecule: long non-coding RNA, 247 nt
Filed under: Elaeis guineensis (African oil palm)
Lineage: Eukaryota; Viridiplantae; Streptophyta; Magnoliopsida; Arecales; Arecaceae
Description: long non-coding RNA (EGUI_LNC038829)
Source: RNAcentral
GGUGGCUCCGAUACCACUGUUGAGUUUCGACUACGUAGUGAAAAAUAAUUUUUAAAUAUUUUAAAACUAAGCAAGUCAAUAGCCUUAACAAUUAAAAUUAUUGAACCGAAAUCCAAACCUUCAAAUCACCUUGCCGAUGUUGAUAAAAACAAAACAAGCAUGCAAAGGGAUAGAAUUUUGUAGUUUUACCAAAAAGAUGAUGUGGCACAUUGGUGAUCUCUAUAAGACUCCAAAGUAGAAGCCCCCA